This 562-nucleotide ribosomal RNA is filed under the name uncultured bacterium. RNAcentral's name for it is "partial 16S ribosomal RNA". It matches the Rfam family "Bacterial small subunit ribosomal RNA", at positions 355 to 1375 of the family's 1533-position model. The record is from RNAcentral.
UGGGGAAUAUUGGACAAUGGGGGCAACCCUGAUCCAGCCAUGCCGCGUGAGUGAUGAAGGCCCUAGGGUUGUAAAGCUCUUUUGUGCGGGAAGAUAAUGACGGUACCGCAAGAAUAAGCCCCGGCUAACUUCGUGCCAGCAGCCGCGGUAAUACGAAGGGGGCUAGCGUUGCUCGGAAUCACUGGGCGUAAAGGGUGCGUAGGCGGGUUUCUAAGUCAGAGGUGAAAGCCUGGAGCUCAACUCCAGAACUGCCUUUGAUACUGGAAGUCUUGAGUAUGGCAGAGGUGAGUGGAACUGCGAGUGUAGAGGUGAAAUUCGUAGAUAUUCGCAAGAACACCAGUGGCGAAGGCGGCUCACUGGGCCAUUACUGACGCUGAGGCACGAAAGCGUGGGGAGCAAAACAGGAUUAGAUACCCUGGUAGUCCACGCCGUAAACGAUGAAUGCCAGCCGUUAGUGGGUUUUACUCACUAGUGGCGCAGCUAACGCUUUAAGCAUUCCGCCUGGGGAGUACGGUCGCAAGAUUAAAACUCAAAUGAAUUGACGGGGUCAUAGCUGUUUCCU